GCCCAGACUCCUACGGGAGGCAGCAGUGAGGAAUAUUGGUCAAUGGACGGAAGUCUGAACCAGCCAUGCCGCGUGCAGGAAGACGGCUCUAUGAGUUGUAAACUGCUUUUGUACAAGGGUAAACCUGAAUACGUGUAUUCAGCUGAAAGUACUGUACGAAUAAGGAUCGGCUAACUCCGUGCCAGCAGCCGCGGUAAUACGGGGGAUGCGAGCGUUAUCCGGAUUUAUUGGGUUUAAAGGGUGCGUAGGCGGCGCUUCAGGUCAGCGGUGAAAUACCGGGGCUCAACCCCGGGGCUGCCGUUGAAACCGGAGCGCUAGAAUUCCGAUGCCGUCGGAGGAAUGUGUGGUGUAGCGGUGAAAUGCAUAGAUAUCACACAGAACACCGAUUGCGAAGGCAUCUGACGAAUCGGAGAUUGACGCUGAUGCACGAAAGCGUGGGUAUCGAACAGGAUUAGAUACCCGUGUAGA
This 468-nucleotide ribosomal RNA is filed under the name uncultured bacterium. RNAcentral describes it as "bacterial SSU rRNA". It matches the Rfam family "Bacterial small subunit ribosomal RNA", at positions 329 to 794 of the family's 1533-position model. The record is from RNAcentral.